Long non-coding RNA from Oreochromis aureus, 3145 nucleotides. RefSeq lists it as uncharacterized. NCBI's taxonomy places the organism in Eukaryota, Metazoa, Chordata, Actinopteri, Cichliformes, Cichlidae. The record is from RefSeq and is a predicted model, not a curated record. The transcript has 2 exons.
UGGUGGUAGGAGGGCGCUCAGCUUAUAAAGCGGGGAGGAGGCGCAGUGCUCCGGGCUGCACGAGGAGGAAGAUGGGGGAUGGAGGAGCUCCUCGUUAUCGCGGGGUCGGCGCAGAACUAAAUGUUGAACCGCGAAGCAAAGAGACCAAAAAAAAGCCAAGUUAGAUGUGAUGGCGCGGACUGGACUCACUGUGGAGGUCUCUGAGGUUACAGACAGGAAGUGAGUGUACAGAUGUUUCAGAGCAGGACGGAAAAUCAGCCCAAAUUUCUUUAUUAUGGCUUUAAUUCACCAAAAUCACAGAGAACACCUGCUGUGGCUGUAAACAGCUGGAUGAACAGCAGGCUGAGCUUCUAGAACAAUCAGGAAACAGAGGAGGAGCCUCUCCCCUCCCUGUUACAGCGCUGCCUCAUGAUCUGGAAGUUUCCUCGUGAUUUUAAACACAGGAAUCAAAUCGGAGCUCAUGGAAUAAUCUUGAAAUCAGGAUUUAUGUCAACAAGGAAAAUACUUUACAAAAGAAGGAAACUUUAAUCAGAGAAAUUACAUUUAUAUUAAGCUGGACUAACCAGCAUAGAAACAAACAAAUGCUCAAAUGUGAUUAGAUAACAUCUGCAGUUGCCUUCCAGAACAUUCUGCUGUAAUAUUUACAGUAAAUAUCAAAUUUGAAUGUUUUUAUUUUAUGAAUAAAACAGUCGGGCUGCCACAAAUGAAAGAUUUAGCUGCAGGAGAAAGCUUAAAAUCAGCAUUUUACUCAGACGUUUGUGUUUAGAUAAAACUAUCUGUAGCUGCCUUCCAGAACGUUCUGCACAAUAUUCACAUCGUCAUAGAGAAAACUCAAAUAACUGGGCCUGAACUCUGAAACCAUCUGUUAGAUUUAAUGAGUAAAAAUGAAAAAUCAAACCUUUUUUUUGGCUGUAAACAGCUGGAUAAGCUGGAAAAAGCAAGCUGAGCUUCCAGAACAAUCCCUGAGUAAAGGGAGGAGGAGCCCCUCCCCUCCCUGUUGCUGCCUCAUGAUCUGGAAGUUUCCUCACUGAGGACCAAAAUCUUGUGAUUUUAAAAACAGGAAUAAAAUCUGUGCUUGUGGAAUAAUCCUGAAAUCAGGAUUUAUGAGAACAAGAAAAUAUUGUUAGAAUUACAAAAAGGUGGAGCUCUCUGGAGACUCAGGGGACUUCUCCACCCCUCAGAACAAAAUCAUUUAGAAGGAUAUGAUUUAUUUUUUUAUUUUAUUUUUUUAAAUUCAGAGAUAUUUAAACUGGAUUAAGUGACAUGGAAACACUUAAUCUCCUGCUACUCAGAGAUGUUGUUUAAUUAUAAUAUCUGUACCUUCCAGAAUAGUCUGAGUAAUAUUUAUAUUUCCUCACAUUUAUAGUGACGAUCAAAGAGAAGCCUGUUGUUAAAGGUAAAAAUAUUCAGACAGGCUCUGCAGCUUUAAAGCAGCUCAAUGUUUUUCUAGAACAAUCCUCACGCUCACUGUUAUUACUCUGCUGGAAGCAAGUCUGAUUUAUUUUUAAUUUCUUUAAGCUGAACAACCAACCUGAGAAACCAAGUCAGGAUUUAAGAACAAAGUGACGUUACUGGAUUUUAAAAAAAGGUUCACAUGGAAAAAAACCUCCAGAACCACAGAGAGGAAAAUACUUAUUAAAAACCCAAAUUUUAGUCACAGCAUUCCGUCUGAACCUGGACUGACUGGAUAGACGUGAACACCUGCCAUCUUCCAAAAAUAUUCUGCACAUUAUUUAUAUUUGAUUAUUCUUCUGCAGUAAGUUUAAACCAGGAGUCACCAAAUCUGUCCCCGAAUAUGAAAUGAGGAUGAUGUUUAGAGGGCGGGGUUAUACAGGAUGACCUGAGCCAAUAAGACUGAUUCAAACUACAAAGUCAAUGGUGGAAUUUUUAAAAAAGCACAAAAAAAACAAAAAACUCACCUGCUGGGAAAAGGUUUAGUAGUUAUGAGCAUGUCAGUGUCCACAGAUCAAAGUCUUUAAAAUUCUUUCAAAUCCUCAUAUUUAAUCAUGUUUACAGUAAAUAUAAAGGAUUUGAUAGGUUCAGCUUCAGGACUGUGUGCAAACCGCAGUACAACAACUGGCCAGCAGGUGUCAGCAAAGCCUCAGGUCUGCUUACAAAUGUUAAUAAUAAACCUGAGCGAGUACAUUACUGAUGCUCUGUGCUCCGACAGACCCUCAUUAUCAUGUCUGUAGGUACCUUCCAGAAUAAUCUGAAGAGUUUCAUCUAAAGAGAAGUUUCAUGAAGAGCUGGGUGGACUUAUUUGGUUUAAAGAUGUUUCUGCAGUAAAUGAGUAAGAGCAGGGAUGGGGACAGUUUAUUAGGCAUGCUACAGACUCGUCCUCCAUGAACUGCCAUAAAUUACAGCAUGAAUAACAAGCAGGAUAUAGACCUGCAAAGCCCAGAGGGAUGUGAGCACACUUACAGAUGUCAGUGUUUUGUAGGUUUGCUGUUGAAGUGAUGGCUCUUGGGCCUGUGGGUUUAGUCUUCCUGUAUAAAAUCACUUUUCCUGAAAGGUUUUUACGCUCCUCGCUGCAGAGGUAUGUUAGCUGUGUGACUGGUGAGCGUGCUCAGCCUGAAAGCUCUCAUGCAGCAGGUAAAAUAUCUGACUGGGUCAAAUUUGCAGAAAUGGUGAAACUGAGGUGUAAAUAUUUCACUGAGUGCAGCUUUCCCAACUCUGUAAAGGCGGUGAGCGUGACGAGGCUGACGUCUCUGACGUUUGAGUUCAUUUUCUGUCCUAAUCACUGAAACGUGUUCCAGCUGCUGUGUCUGUGUAGGCUGUGUUUUAUUUACAAAUGCUUUUCCACAUCUCUGCUCUGACUGAUGCUGCUGCACUGACCCGCUGACAGCCUUUCCUCCUCCAGAGUCCAAACUGGGGUUAAACUGGUCCUGAUGAAGGACACCAGGUCACCCUGUUCGUGUAAAUGUUGAUGUGGGGGGGGAACUUUUUUUUUUUUUUUUUUUCUGCAGUCUGAGGUUCGAAGGUAACUUGGAUUUUAAAAGGACAACAAACAUGGUCACAUGACUGAACUGGGAGAACUGGAUUUGUGUACAAAGAGCUGAAUUGAUGUAAAUUCUAUGGAUGCUGUGGUUUCUUUCUGCUGCAGAGCAGUUAUGGAAAAACAAAAUUAAACUACAACAAACAACAA